RNAcentral lists this ribosomal RNA (653 nucleotides) under uncultured Lachnospiraceae bacterium. RNAcentral describes it as "bacterial SSU rRNA". It matches the Rfam family "Bacterial small subunit ribosomal RNA", at positions 62 to 738 of the family's 1533-position model. Lineage: Bacteria; Bacillati; Bacillota; Clostridia; Lachnospirales; Lachnospiraceae. The record is from RNAcentral.
UCCUUCGUGACUGAUUAUUUUGUGACUGAGUGGCGGACGGGUGAGUAACGCGUGGGUAACCUGCCUUGUACAGGAGGAUAACAGUUGGAAACGGCUGCUAAUACCGCAUAAGCGCACAGUAUCGCAUGAUGCAGUGUGAAAAACUCCGGUGGUAUAAGAUGGACCCGCGUUGGAUUAGCUAGUUGGUGAGGUAACGGCCCACCAAGGGGACGAUCCAUAGCCGACCUGAGAGGGUGACCGGCCACAUUGGGACUGAGACACGGCCCAAACUCCUACGGGAGGCAGCAGUGGGGAAUAUUGCACAAUGGGCGAAAGCCUGAUGCAGCGACGCCGCGUGAGCGAAGAAGUAUUUCGGUAUGUAAAGCUCUAUCAGCAGGGAAGAUAAUGACGGUACCUGACUAAGAAGCACCGGCUAAAUACGUGCCAGCAGCCGCGGUAAUACGUAUGGUGCAAGCGUUAUCCGGAUUUACUGGGUGUAAAGGGAGCGCAGGCGGUGCGGCAAGUCUGAUGUGAAAGCCCGGGGCUCAACCCCGGUACUGCAUUGGAAACUGUCGUAUAGAGUGUCGGAGGGGUAAGCGGAAUUCCUAGUGUAGCGGUGAAAUGCGUAGAUAUUAGGAGGAACACCAGUGGCGAAGGCGGCUUACUGGACGAUA